Molecule: small nucleolar RNA, 74 nt
Organism: Euleptes europaea (tarantolino)
Lineage: Eukaryota; Metazoa; Chordata; Lepidosauria; Squamata; Sphaerodactylidae
Source: RefSeq, a predicted model, not a curated record
UGGAUGUGAUGAGAAGUCUGGAGUCCCUGACCCACCACCCGUGGAGGCAAACACUGAUUUAAUGAGCCUGAUCC